GAUGAAGAACGUAGCGAAAUGCGAUAAGUAAUGUGAAUUGCAGAAUUCAGUGAAUCAUCGAAUCUUUGAACGCACAUUGCGCCCGUCAGUAUUCUGGCGGGCAUGCCUGUUCGAGCGUCAUUACAACCCUCAGGCCCCCGGGCCUGGCGUUGGGGAUCGGCGGAGCCCCCCGUGGGCACACGCCGUCCCCCAAAUGCAGUGGCGGUCCCGCCGCAGCUUCCAUCGCGUAGUAGCUAACACCUCGCGACUGGAGAGCGGCGCGGCCACGCCGUAAAACACCCAACUCUUCUGAAGUUGACCUCGAAUCAGGUAGGAAUACCCGCUGAACUUAAGCAUAUCAAUAAGCGGAGGA
Molecule: unclassified non-coding RNA, 352 nt
Filed under: soil metagenome
Description: partial contains 5.8S ribosomal RNA, internal transcribed spacer 2, and large subunit ribosomal RNA
Rfam family: 5.8S ribosomal RNA (bases 1-120)
Source: RNAcentral